RNAcentral lists this long non-coding RNA (2810 nucleotides) under Amphimedon queenslandica. RNAcentral's name for it is "uncharacterized LOC109585827, transcript variant X2". The record is from RNAcentral. Lineage: Eukaryota; Metazoa; Porifera; Demospongiae; Haplosclerida; Niphatidae.
CAAAAAAAUUGAACUUGGUUCCAGGUGGAAAACUGUAGGGUCAACAGGCAGAAGAAGAAAAAAGAGUGUGAAAGAUACAUUUAUGUAUGUUCCAAUCUUAAAAAACAUCAAAAGACUUUGUCAAGACAAGCAUACUCUAUCUGAGUUUCAGUCAUCACAUAGAGGUGAUGACAAUUAUUUGAGAGACUUCUGUGAUGGAACUGUUUAUAAAAAAGCCCAGUUAUCUCAUCAACAGUUGGAGGAUUGCAAAUUAUCCUAUAUUAUGAUGAACUAGAAGUUUGCAACCCAUUAAGUUCUAGGAAAACUGUGCAUAAGUUAGGUUUAUUUUAUUACAGUUUUGGAAAUUACUCAAAUCGGAGCUUACUUCGAAACAUUCACCUUGCUGCAAUAGCCACAUCAGAAAUCAUUGCACUUUAUAAAGUUACUACAAUUUUGCAGUACAUUGUAGAUGACAUUAAAAAGCUGGAAUCUGGGCAUGAAAUCAUGUUAAGUAAUGGUAAUACCAUCUCCAUUUACGGAUCAAUUGCAGCAAUUGCUGCUGACAAUCCUGCAUCAUGUUCCAUGGGAGGUUUUAAGGAAAGUGCAGCAGCUUACAGUGGAUGCAGACAUUGUAUGGCCACUGAUUUUGCAUUGAAGUUUAAUGAAAAGGAUUUAAACCUUCGUAACAAGAGGUAGCAUCUCCUUCAUUGUCAGGAGCUUGAUACUAGUAUUGAGGCUUCAAAGAAGUAUGGAAUCAAUCGAUACAGUCCUCUUCUUGAACUCAAGCACUUUGACAUAUGUGGAGGACUCGUUCCAGACAUUAUGCAUGAUGUUUUAGAAGGUGUUUUAUGUCUUGAAUUGAAGUUACUAUUGAAGCACUGUAUCAAUGAAAACUAUUUAGGCAUGCAAAAUUUAAGUGACAUGAUUUCUGAUUUUGAGUAUGGAUACAUGGAAGCUACUAACCGCCCAUCUUGUCAAUUUUUACCAGACUGUUAGGUCGGAUUCCCAAAAAAAACUUGGACAAUCUGCAUCCCAGUUAUGGCUUUUAGCUCGACUAAUACCAAUAUUAAUCAGACACUUGAUUCCAGAGAAUGAAUUAAAUUGGGAAAAUUUCUUAAUUCUUCUCAAAAUUACGGAUUAUCUGUUUUCUCCAGUCAUUACAAUUGACGAAUGUUCAUACUUACAGGAUCUCAUUUCUGAGCAUCACAGUAACUUUAUGACUUUAUAUCCACAGCAGUCUGUCACACCUAAGAUGCACUAUAUGGUGCACAUGCCUAGAUUGAUUAAGUGUUAUGGUCCAUUGUCACAAUUAUGGACAAUGAGAUUUGAAGCUAAACAUCAAUAUUUUAAAAAAUUAACACAGCGUACAUUGAAUUACAUAAACUUGCCAAAGACUCUCAGUGAGAGACAUCAGUUUAUACAAAUUUAUUACCUGUUGUCACCACUUCCAGCCUUUGAAAUUGGUCCAGUUCUUAGCUCUUAAAUAUGUGAAGAUGAGAUUCAUGAAUUAGGAAUUGACAGUAGAAGGGCUCAUGUGGUUAAGUGGAUCAAGUUUGGACACAUUGAAAUAAGGCAGCAUCAAUGUGCAGUAUUGUAUCAUCUGUCUGAUUUUCCUCAUUUUAUUAAAAGUCUCAUUUCUAAUUCCUGAACUUUUGCCCUGUACUUCUUUGCCAUUGGACUUCCCCUGUUGGCCAAAUUUCAUCAAAAUUGAAAAUUAGGCUGAGGCUCAUAGGCUUAGGCCAGAUGGCUGAGGCUAGCUGAGGUAACUUGUGAUUAUGAUGACGACGAUGUUCUUGAUCCAUUGGACGAGACACCUUGAUAUAUAGGCCAUAUGAAAUGAUUGCUACUGCCAUUGCUGAUUUACAGAAGUAGAAUAUGACUACAUAUGGAAACAGGCCAAUGCCUAUGGGUACAUCCUCUUUUCGUGCACGUUGUGGGUUUACCUAAUUACGACAUACGCAGUAUAAUACUGGAGCUGAUACUACAAGACAUAUCUAACUUUAGAGUUCUACCUGAUAGACUGGGACAGGGUGUGGUUAAUGAGCUGGCAUUAUCUCACUAGAGAGACUGCGGAGAAGGGCAACCAAAUAUAUCUUGUUUUACUUUCAGAUGGACACAAGUCUAGGCUCAAAACUCUUGAGCUCCUUCCCGGCAUGUACUAUCUGGAAUGUGCCAAAAAUAGUCAUCUUCUUUGUGCAGUUAAACCAUCGUGAUCUGUGUUUCAAUGUGUAUGACUAAUUCUCCUUUAUAUCCUCUUCUAAAUGUACCUGUUGCUCAAUGUGCAACUCUACCUUAUCACAGACUCAAGCUCGACAUACUUUCUUCCACCGUCUCCCCAGACUAUGGAACUCCCUACCCCCAGUAGACUUAACAAUGUCAAUCAAAAAAUGUACCUCACAGAAGGACUAAGAUGAUGGGUCUGAUAUGCCCUGGAAUCCAGUACACUCUCUUUGGAAUCCAACUAAAAUGUGACGGAAUCUAAGACUCGGAAUCCAAGAUUUAAGGAUUUUUAGUGGUAUACUACUUGGAAUCCAGCAACUGCUUGGAAUCCAGCAACUGAAUUCAGGAAUCCAGACACCCCAGUGUCUGACCCCUUGGACUAAGAUAUAGAAAAUCACUUUUCUGUAUUUUUGUGUCAUUUAUUUGUUUAUCUUGUUAUUUUUAAUUAUUUGGCAGACAUUUAAUCAACUCAUUUAAGAUGUGUUUUACAAAUGCUCUAUUCUCUUUCAAUCCUCCCAGUCCUAACUGCUUUCACUAUUCGAUAACUCAUAAAUUUUUCAAGUAUUUCACUUCUGUUAAUUAGCUAUUUGAUUGUUUUUUUGUCACUGAGA